UACGGGGGGUGCAAGCGUUGUUCGGAAUCAUUGGGCGUAAAGAGCGUGUAGGCGGCGAGAUAAGUCAGAUGUGAAAGCCCUGGGCUCAACUCAGGAAGUGCAUUUGAAACUGUUUCGCUAGAGUAAGGGAGAGGGAAGUGGAAUUCCUGGUGUAGAGGUGAAAUUCGUAGAUAUCAGGAGGAACACCGGUGGCGAAGGCGACUUCCUGGCCCUAUACUGACGCUGAGACGCGAGAGCGUGGGUAGCAAACAGG
RNAcentral lists this ribosomal RNA (253 nucleotides) under uncultured bacterium. Its description in RNAcentral is "partial 16S ribosomal RNA". It matches the Rfam family "Bacterial small subunit ribosomal RNA", at positions 524 to 776 of the family's 1533-position model. The record is from RNAcentral.